UAUUAAAAAUUUCAUCCAUUUCCACCUUUAAAAACUGAUGUGGUUGACAGAGUAACUACCUCGUUACACGUAGCAUGCCAUGUUUACACCAUGCUGACGUACAAUAACAAAUUUUUAAUAGUAAAAAUAGAUGAAAUUUUUAAUA
Molecule: microRNA precursor, 145 nt
Organism: Gossypium arboreum
Lineage: Eukaryota; Viridiplantae; Streptophyta; Magnoliopsida; Malvales; Malvaceae
Rfam family: MIR7502 microRNA precursor family
Source: Rfam